This 373-nucleotide ribosomal RNA is filed under the name uncultured bacterium. RNAcentral's name for it is "bacterial SSU rRNA". It matches the Rfam family "Bacterial small subunit ribosomal RNA", at positions 525 to 896 of the family's 1533-position model. The record is from RNAcentral.
ACGUAGGGGGCAAGCGUUGUCCGGAAUUAUUGGGCGUAAAGGGCGCGUAGGCGGAUGUUUAAGUCCGGUGUGAAAGAUCAGGGCUCAACCCUGAGAGUGCAUCGGAAACUGGGCAUCUUGAGGACAGGAGAGGAAAGUGGAAUUCCACGUGUAGCGGUGAAAUGCGUAGAUAUGUGGAGGAACACCAGUGGCGAAGGCGACUUUCUGGACUGUAACUGACGCUGAGGCGCGAAAGCGUGGGGAGCAAACAGGAUUAGAUACCCUGGUAGUCCACGCUGUAAACGAUGAGUGCUAGGUGUAGAGGGUAUCGACCCCUUCUGUGCCGCAGUUAACACAAUAAGCACUCCGCCUGGGGAGUACGGCCGCAAGGUUG